Molecule: ribosomal RNA, 433 nt
Filed under: uncultured bacterium
Lineage: Bacteria
Description: partial 16S ribosomal RNA
Rfam family: Bacterial small subunit ribosomal RNA
Source: RNAcentral
AACGAACGCUGGCGGCAGGCUUAACACAUGCAAGUCGAACGCACCUUUCGGGGUGAGUGGCAGACGGGUGAGUAACGCGUGGGAAUCUACCCUUCUCUACGGGAUAGCUCCGGGAAACUGGAAUUAAUACCGUAUACGUCCUGAGGGAGAAAGAUUUAUCGGGGAAGGAUGAGCCCGCGUUGGAUUAGCUAGUUGGUGGGGUAAAGGCCUACCAAGGCGACGAUCCAUAGCUGGUCUAAGAGGAUGAUCAGCCACAUUGGGACUGAGACACGGCCCAAACUCCUACGGGAGGCAGCAGUGGGGAAUAUUGGACAAUGGGCGCAAGCCUGAUCCAGCCAUGCCGCGUGAGUGAUGAAGGCCCUAGGGUUGUAAAGCUCUUUCAGUGGAGACGAUAAUGACGGUACCCACAGAAGAAGCCCCGGCUAACUUCGUG